AAAUUUGCAUUAUAAAUAACAGAAGUAAAAACGGUGAAGAAAUUAAAGUUAUUGCAACACUUGAAAACAAGAGAAUUACGAGUUUUUUCAAUCCUGGGUGGGGUGUAUUUUUGUCAAUAUUAAAAAUUGGAACACAUUCCUAGUUUGAUUGAAUUUUCAUGAUCUUCUCCAAACUCUUCGAAGUUCUAUGUAGGAAUCCUGCGAUGAUAAGUAUAAAAGUGAACAAUUUUAUUGGAAAAAAUAUAAAUGCGAUAACUAUACGGUAA
Xenia sp. Carnegie-2017 is the source of this 266-nucleotide long non-coding RNA. RefSeq lists it as uncharacterized. The transcript has 3 exons. The record is from RefSeq and is a predicted model, not a curated record. Lineage: Eukaryota; Metazoa; Cnidaria; Anthozoa; Malacalcyonacea; Xeniidae.